RNAcentral lists this ribosomal RNA (464 nucleotides) under uncultured bacterium. Its description in RNAcentral is "partial 16S ribosomal RNA". It matches the Rfam family "Bacterial small subunit ribosomal RNA", at positions 28 to 507 of the family's 1533-position model. The record is from RNAcentral.
GACGAACGCUGGCGGCGUGCUUAACACAUGCCAGUCGAACGGAGAGGCCCCUUUGGGGGUACUCGAGUGGCGAACGGGUGAGUAACACGUGAGUAACCUGCCCUUGACUUCGGGAUAACUUCAGGAAACUGGGGCUAAUACCGGAUAGGAAUCCUUGCUGCAUGGUGGGGGUUGGAAAGCUUCGGCGGUUUUGGAUGGACUCGCGGCUUAUCAGCUUGUUGGUGGGGUAGUGGCUUACCAAGGCUUUGACGGGUAGCCGGCCUGAGAGGGCGACCGGCCACAUUGGGACUGAGAUACGGCCCAGACUCCUACGGGAGGCAGCAGUGGGGAAUAUUGCACAAUGGGCGGAAGCCUGAUGCAGCAACGCCGCGUGCGGGAUGACGGCCUUCGGGUUGUAAACCGCUUUCGCCUGUGACGAAGCGUGAGUGACGGUAAUGGGUAAAGAAGCACCGGCUAACUACGUG